AGUGAACGCUGGCGGUAGGCCUAACACAUGCAAGUCGAACGGCAGCACAGUAAGAGCUUGCUCUUACGGGUGGCGAGUGGCGGACGGGUGAGGAAUACAUCGGAAUCUACUUUUUCGUGGGGGAUAACGUAGGGAAACUUACGCUAAUACCGCAUACGACCUACGGGUGAAAGCAGGGGUUCUUCGGACCUUGCGCGAUUGAAUUAGCCGAUGUCGGAUUAGCUAGUUGGCGGGGUAAAGGCCCACCAAGGCGACGAUCCGUAGCUGGUCUGAGAGGAUGAUCAGCCACACUGGAACUGAGACACGGUCCAGACUCCUACGGGAGGCAGCAGUGGGGAAUAUUGGACAAUAGGCGCAAGCCUGAUCCAGCCAUACCGCGUGGGUGAAGAAGGCCUUCGGGUUGUAAAGCCCUUUUGUUGGGAAAGAAAAGCAGCAGGUUAAUACCCCGCUGCUCUGACGGUACCCAAAGAAUAAGCACCGGCUAACUUCGUG
This 492-nucleotide ribosomal RNA is filed under the name uncultured bacterium. Its description in RNAcentral is "partial 16S ribosomal RNA". It matches the Rfam family "Bacterial small subunit ribosomal RNA", at positions 29 to 507 of the family's 1533-position model. The record is from RNAcentral.